This 406-nucleotide ribosomal RNA is filed under the name uncultured bacterium. RNAcentral describes it as "partial 16S ribosomal RNA". It matches the Rfam family "Bacterial small subunit ribosomal RNA", at positions 32 to 526 of the family's 1533-position model. The record is from RNAcentral.
AUUCAACGCUGGCGGCAGGCCUAACACAUGCAAGUCGAGCGAGCGGCGGACGGGUGAGUAAUGUAUGGGGAACUGCCUGAUAGAGGGGGAUAACUACUGGAAACGGUGGCUAAUACCGCAUACUAUCGGAUGACCCCCUAUGGGAUUAGCUGGUGGGUGGGGUAACGGCUCACCAAGGCGACGAUCCCUAGCUGGUCUGAGAGGAUGAUCCGCCCCACGGGCACUGAGACACGGCCCAGACUCCUACGGGAGGCAGCAGUGGGGAAUAUUGCACAAUGGUCGCAAGCCUGAUGCAGCCAUGCCGCGUGUAUGAAGAAGGCCUUAGGGUUGUAAAGUACUUUCAGCGGGGAGGCGUUACCCGCAGAAGAAGCACCGGCUAACUCCGUGCCAGCAGCCGCGGUAAUAC